UACGAAGGGGGCUAGCGUUGUUCGGAAUUACUGGGCAUAAAGCGCACGUAGGCGGAUCGAUCAGUCAGGGGUGAAAUCCCAGGGCUCAACCCUGGAACUGCCUUUGAUACUGUCGAUCUGGAGUAUGGAAGAGGUGAGUGGAAUUCCGAGUGUAGAGGUGAAAUUCGUAGAUAUUCGGAGGAACACCAGUGGCGAAGGCGGCUCACUGGUCCAUUACUGACGCUGAGGUGCGAAAGCGCGGGGAGCGAACGGG
Molecule: ribosomal RNA, 253 nt
Filed under: uncultured bacterium
Lineage: Bacteria
Description: partial 16S ribosomal RNA
Rfam family: Bacterial small subunit ribosomal RNA
Source: RNAcentral